Molecule: ribosomal RNA, 424 nt
Filed under: uncultured bacterium
Lineage: Bacteria
Description: bacterial SSU rRNA
Rfam family: Bacterial small subunit ribosomal RNA
Source: RNAcentral
UGAGGAAUAUUGCACAAUGGGGGCAACCCUGAUGCAGCAACGCCGCGUGAGUGAUGAAGCAGUUUAUCUGUGUAAAGCUCUGUUGAUUGGGACGAAAUUUAGGGUUAGUUGCCUUAUUUGACGGUACCAGUUGAGGAAGCUCCGGCUAACUCCGUGCCAGCAGCCGCGGUAAUACGGGGGGAGCAAGCGUUGUCCGGAUUUAUUGGGCGUAAAGGGCAUGUAGGUGGUCUUUUAAGUCAGUUGUUAAAACUAUCGGCUUAACCGGUAAUUGCAAUUGAUACUGGAGGACUUGAAUCUGAGAGGGGAUAGUGGAAUAUCAAGUGUAGCGGUGGAAUGCGUAGAUAUUUGAUAGAACACCUGAGGUGAAGACGACUAUCUGGCUCAUGAUUGACACUGAGAUGCGAAAGUAUGGGGAGCAAACAGG